GCUACGGGUGGCAGCAGUAGGGAAUAUUGCUCAAUGGGGGAAACCCUGAAGCAGCAACGCCGCGUGGAGGAUGAAGGUUUUCGGAUUGUAAACUCCUUUUUAUAGAGAAGUUAAUGACGGUAUCUAACGAAUAAGCAACGUCUAACUCCGUUCCAGCAGCCGCGGUAAUACGGAGGGUGCAAGCGUUACUCGGAAUCACUGGGCGUAAAGAGCGCGUAGGCGGGAUAGCAAGUCAGAUGUGAAAUCCUAUGGCUUAAACACAGAACUGCCUUUGAAACUGUUAUUCUAGAGUAUGGGAGAGGUAGGUGGAAUUCUUGGUGUAGGGGUAAAAUCCGUAGAGAUCAAGAGGAAUACUGAUUGCGAAGGCGACAUGCUAGAACAUAACUGACGCUGAUGCGCGAAAGCGUGGGGAGCAAACAGGAUUAGAUACCCGGGUAGUC
RNAcentral lists this ribosomal RNA (440 nucleotides) under uncultured bacterium. RNAcentral describes it as "partial 16S ribosomal RNA". It matches the Rfam family "Bacterial small subunit ribosomal RNA", at positions 338 to 795 of the family's 1533-position model. The record is from RNAcentral.